GGCAGUUCUCAGGUGACGCACCCCAGAAUAGGGCUCCCUCCUCUCUGGUUCCAGGUGUGUCACCUGAGAACCGCA
Myotis brandtii (Brandt's bat) is the source of this 75-nucleotide non-coding RNA. Lineage: Eukaryota; Metazoa; Chordata; Mammalia; Chiroptera; Vespertilionidae. The record is from Rfam.